AUUGGUUGCUGGAUCGUAUAAAGGAAUCAUGGCGCGGCAGGGGUUGUUAGUGAAGGUUCGAAAGAAAUUGUAUGAUGAGUAGAUGUUGCUAACAAACGAACGUAAGGGGGUUUUUUGGUGAAGAUUAACCACACUUGUGGUCAGUCUGUCUCCGCUGCUGCCGCUCGAUUACACUUUCACUGCGUUAAUUUGCUGUGUUAACCAGGACCAGGACACAGGACCAAACCGCAGCUGCACGUGAUGGAGCUGUUAAAGUUGAGCUAGAUUCCAAACUGUAGUCAACAAACGGACGAAGAAGACCAAAAAUAUACCGUCAGUGUGGUGGUAAUAUUUUGGGAAGAUGGCGGUGUCCUUCCUUAUCGUUCGGCCAAUGGUAGGCAGAGCAUAAUUGAGUCGUUCACCGGUGUUAGCCAUCAACUGAUCAGCUCAGAAGGCCUCCGCUAAACACGUGAUCCAGGCUUCUCUGGGCCCUGCUGUGCUCAAGUGGACUGAGACCUGCGUGAUCUGUCCCCUCAGGACUUGUGAAACUGACGAGCAACGAUCACUCUCUGACCUGCUGUCGACGAAGCCGUGAUGUCAGGCCUCCAGUAUGGCGUCUUGGCAUCACUUCUGUUCUGAUUUGUGGGGAGUGGCUUUGAUCUCCACUAACCAAUCACAGCCACCUAGAUUCAACCUUAUUUUAAGCUGACUCUGACAUCUGUGGGGACUGGUUUGAAGUGAAAACAAACUGGGGUGAUCGAAGGGAUCAUGUCAGCUGGGAGAUGAUGUGAACAAAAGGCCGAAUUGUAGCGCCCCUGUCAGGCAGUGUGUUCUCAGAGCAGAGGCGCCAUGACAAAGACUUACCGAAGCGUUCAUCUGAUCCCACAACAGCUGACUAAAGCGCACAUGAUCAAAAUAAUUACUUUUAACAUCAACAAUUCAUCAUAAAGUAGUUGACAAAGAAAAGUGACUUCCUGUGUUUUUCCGGUCAGUCGCGGACUGAAGCUGACUGAGUUUCAAGUUUUUAAACUUGAAGCUUAAAGUUUCUUUUGCAUGAAUCCGAGCCUGAAGAGGCGACGUAAGAAGCAAACAUUAUGACAGGAACGUGUUCACCUGCAUGUAAAUUCAACAUGCGUACGAACGGUUUGGGACAGACUGUGUAGUGGUUCCUCUUAACUUAUAUCGGAUGUUCCUCGUUAUCGUAAACAUUCAAACCAGCUGUUUGUGC
Molecule: long non-coding RNA, 1207 nt
Organism: Scatophagus argus
Lineage: Eukaryota; Metazoa; Chordata; Actinopteri; Scatophagidae
Exons: 4
Source: RefSeq, a predicted model, not a curated record